Molecule: long non-coding RNA, 436 nt
Organism: Fukomys damarensis (Damara mole-rat)
Lineage: Eukaryota; Metazoa; Chordata; Mammalia; Rodentia; Bathyergidae
Exons: 4
Source: RefSeq, a predicted model, not a curated record
ACUACAUUUUUCCUUCUCCUUUGUAGUUAGGUGCGGCUUCGUGACUGAGUUCUGAACAAAGGAAUAUGGAGAUUACCUCUGUCAUUCUCUCCUUCCCUCUCAUGUCAGCAAGGCAGAUGGAGAGGACUCAAAAGAUGGUUCUGAGGCCCUAAAGCAGAAAUUCCUACGGAAAUGGGCCGUGAGGCAAGGAGCUUCCUGUGCUAUGCAAAAUCCCACUGCAACGUACUGCCGCCCCCCAAGCCCAGAAACAGUGGAGCCAACCAGCCAAGGACAAAACCUCCAAAACUAUAUCAAAAAAGGUUUUGGGAACGGAUUGAGGGCUUCUCCCACAUUUCCCUAAGACCCCUUACCAUGUCAGAUGUCAACUGCAGCAGACUCUGCUUGGGAAGAUGACAAGAGGGAUCACCUUGGGCCCUUGCGCUUGCAAGGCAGGCGG